This 183-nucleotide ribosomal RNA is filed under the name uncultured bacterium. RNAcentral describes it as "partial 16S ribosomal RNA". It matches the Rfam family "Bacterial small subunit ribosomal RNA", at positions 355 to 530 of the family's 1533-position model. The record is from RNAcentral.
AAGGGAAUCUUCCACAAUGGACGAAAGUCUGAUGGAGCAACGCCGCGUGAGUGAAGAAGGUUUUCGGAUCGUAAAGCUCUGUUGUUGGUGAAGAAGGAUAGAGGUAGUAACUGGCCUUUAUUUGACGGUAAUCAACCAGAAAGUCACGGCUAACUACGGGCCAGCAGCCGCGGUAAUACAAAA